ACCACUCUUUCAGGUGAACCAGCAUCUCCCUGGUAGUCCUUAUAUCUUCAUGCUGUUGUUGAAGAUCAUUGGACAUAGACGCUAAGAUAUAGCACUUAGCCUUAUUAUCUUCAUUCAUCCACUUUUUAAGUGCAGCUCGUUGAUCAGCAGAUGGGCAAGUAGGUAACGCAGGUGCUUCCUGGUCGAGGAUAUGGGUGAGUUUUUUGGAAUUGAGAACAAUUCUCAAAUUUUGGAGUCAGUCUUUGUAAUUGAUGCCGGUCAACCUAUUUGUAUCAAGGAUUUGGGCUAAGGGG
Molecule: long non-coding RNA, 293 nt
Filed under: Elaeis guineensis (African oil palm)
Lineage: Eukaryota; Viridiplantae; Streptophyta; Magnoliopsida; Arecales; Arecaceae
Description: long non-coding RNA (EGUI_LNC045090)
Source: RNAcentral